GGGCCGGGGGCCGGGUGCACCUGCCGCAGUCUGGACUAGGAAUCUGAAAAUCCAGCAAGAUGGAAACCUUCGCGGAGGUUGUAAGACCUGGAUCUACUUUGCAGUGUUCUAAGUAGCCUUCAAGCCUCAGUACCUGGCAGACUGGAUUUCGGACUUCGAGCUCCGAAGCAGAAAAAAAGGAGUCUUUUUCACUUGGCUCCCUUGAGUUUCAAGGCUGAGAACAUACUGCUUUGAGGGCCACCAUAUAGGAGUACGCGCUUCUCCACACCCUGGAACCCGGGGGUUAGACUUGGAACGAAUCGUUGCCGCCUCACUGUCUUCUGCCUGUAGAAACCCCAGCCCCCUGCGCCACUGCAGGAACACCGUGCCAGCUUCUUUUGUGGUCCCAAUCGCCGUCAGUUUCUCGAGAUUUCAGACUUUGGGCAUGGAUACCAGCUGGCCGCCUUUCUCAGCGAGGUGCCAUCGGAAACCUGUGGAGAAACUUUUGAACUGUGGUUGGUCAAGCUGCCGAGGCAGAGCUUAGGGCUUUGGUGCCUCCACCCCUGGGGUCAGCGGUGGCGUGGACCGGACAUUGCAGAAACACUUUUCUGCGGUGUUUUGUCGUGAGCCCUUGAAAGCUGCCCACUUUCUAGAACUCUCUUCUGAAGAAGUCCAUGAGCUCUGCUGGCCAAGGGACAAACCAGUGGCCUCCACCCCAGCCCCGUGCCCUGGACAGCUUCCUAACACGGAGGUGAGGCAGAACCCCACCUGUCCAGACGCCGGGUCCUUAGGACUGAGGUCACAACACACACUUUUCUCUGCAAAGGGCUCAGGAGAUGCAUUGCUGCUGUGUCCAGUGAGGGGGCGAUGCAAAGCCGUGAAUAAGGGGCAAACAGAUCAGCACAGAGGGGGUCCCCAGUGACCUCAGAAAAUGACCAAAUUGUGCAUGUCUGUAAUCCCAGCACUUACAAGUGAGUUCCAGGCCAGUUUGGUGCACUGGUCUACAUACUGAGUUCCAGCCAGGGCUACAGAGUAAGACCCUGUCUCAAAAACAUAACAAGUCCCAAAUCUCCAGCUCCUGGCAGAACUUGAGGGGCCUCUCCUUAGGAGCCCCCUUUUAGCACUUUACGUGAGGCCUACGUAAGACCCAAGACUACAAUCUUUGGGAGUGUCUAGGUGACCAUUUCACCUUGACCACAGGGUUCCAGGAUGUAUGGGCCUAGCUCAGCUACACCUGAGAGGGACUUCAACAGAUUGCUUGACUCACAGGAGUGAGAGCCGUGGUGGCAGUGUGGCCAGCCUUGGGUCCCAGGGGGUCACCAGGGAUAAUUAGCUGGUGACCUUGUCCCUGUGAGAUCCUGAAUUCUUCAAACAUGAGGGCUUGCUCAUCUGAUCUGCCCCAGGCAUGCCCAGAGCCCAGCAGCCCUCCAUGAGGCUGUACCCAGGAGUACUUUGAAGAAAGAAAAUAGGUUUAGGGUGGUGAAUGGAUGGGGCUUGGGGAGGAGGGGCAACCCCAGACCUGCUGGAAUGGAGCUCCUAAGAGUCAUCAUAAACCAGGGAACUGGCUCCAGAUACAGCUUGUCAGACGGCCUAGGCCUGCCUUUUCAAUUUAUCGGUGUGGGGUAUGUCACUCAUACAAAAGAAUGGGCUUCGUCCUGACAUUUCCAUGCGUGUAGAACGUGUGUUAUAACCUGGUGAUCCAGAGCUGGUCCCAACCCCGGUAGGCAGAGCCUGCUUCCCAUCAGCCUCCUGGGGCCAGAUUAUCCUCGGGCGGGGAGGGUAGGAGGCAAGGGCACACACCAUACUUUGAAGACACAUUCUGUUUUUACUGUAUUCCUGCCUGGGCAAAAUAGCCCUGGCAGCAUCUUAAAGGCCCCUGAGAGAGAUUUGAGAUGAAAGUCCCUGAAGCUGCUAAUCCCACGGCUUGGGAGGCAGAAGCAGAAGAACUGCAAGUUUGAGGUCAGUCCGGGCAAGACUUAGUUGAUGGGUAUUCUCCACCUACGAAAUGAGCCGGUGGAAGCCAAAUUAAAGCAUUAAAAGGCAGCGUUAUCGGGGGGCAGCUCUUUCAGGUGAAUUCACAGGUCCCAAGGAACAGAGGAGUAGGGGAGUGGGGGCAGGGAAGACACCAUGCAGACAGGGAGACAGAAAAGGGAGGAAGGAAGAAAGUAAGAGUAUGUAAAUGAAGAGAGAGAGGAGAAAGAGAGAGAAAGAAAGAACCAAAAUGUCUGAAUUAUAUAGUGAAGAGCCUCUGGAGGAGAGGAAGGAAAGGAAGCCCAGCCCCUGGGCUGGAAAGUUCAGCAUAAAGGGCCCGGUAUGCCAGCCAUGCCCUGUAACAGAUGGGGACUAAGGGAUGCUGGGAGAAUCUGGGUCUGCUUUGAUAUGUUAAAUAGGCUUGCCCAGGUCUGAAACUCAACACCUGUCUCAAGAAAAGAAAGAAGAAAGGAAGGAAGGAAGGAAGGAAGGAAGGAAGGAAGGAAGGAAGGAAGGAAGGAAGGAAGGAAGGAAGGGAAAGAAAGAAAGAAAGAAAGAAAGAAAGAAAGAAAGAAAGAAAGAAAGAAAGAGAAAGAGAGAAAGAAAGAAAAGAAAGAAAAAGAAAGAAAGAAAGAAAGAGAAAGAGAGAAAGAAAGAAAGAAAAGAAAAGAGAAAAAGAGAGAAAGAAAGAAAGAAAGAAAGAAAGGAAAGAAAGAAAGAAAGAAAGAAAGAAAGAAAGAAAGAAAGAAAGAAAGAAAGAAAGAAAGAAAAGAAAGAGAAAGGCAGCAGAGUUGUUCUUUCAGACAACUGGGCAAACAAUGCCUUGAAAAUUCCUUGAGGGAAGAAAGACCUUUCUGGUUCAAAGUACGGGUCUCUGGGGCUCUUCACCUCUGCAGGGCAUGGCCAAACAGACCACAGUCCUGUGGCCAUUUCUUGUCCAAACCAGAGGAAAAGCAUUUGCCCUGGUGGCCCAGUGGAAGCAUCAUGGUCCAAACACUCUCACCACACAUGAUGUGAUACAUCUCCUCCCAUGGCUCAGGGUCACUGGAAGAUAUGUUUCUUAAAGUUGAAAAACACUCUAGUGUGUGUGUGUAUGUGUGAUUUUGAUAGUUCUUCCUUGCACAGGUACUGAGUUUAUCCUAAUAGAAACCCUAAAUGCAUUUAUCUAUGAAACAUGUACAGAAUAGUCAGUUGUCCAGACAUUAAGUUCAUUGUGAGACACUUCAAAGGUCCAGAGUAACAGGUGAAUGUUAGUUCACCCCGGCCCCAUCACUCUAGGAUGUAUUUCUCUCUCUCUUUAAAGAUGGAAGCUUCGUAUGAAAGGCAAAAGCAGGAGGAUUCGGAGCUGCAAGAUAGCCUCAGCUACAUAGCGAAUAUGGACAAAAUUUCCCAGAAAGAAGUUUUUUCAAACUGAACUUUCUGCAGGGCUGAUAGCUGAUUGGUACACUCAGUGGUUGUGUGGAGGUUGGAAUGUUGCAAGUUCAGAGCCAAAUUAUCUCAGGCCGUCUUUAAUCCCUCCCGAUAGGCCUAGCAGCUUUGUGGCAGAGGUGAGACAGUUGGAAAGUACAGAUAGCCAGUUUUCCUUAGGAACAUAUUCACUCGCUUCUACCAGCCCAAAAGCUGAAAGCAUCAUCAUCAUGUGCGGCCUAGAGCAGACUUUUCUCCACUGUGCUGCAGCCUGCUUCUGGAUGCUUCCACAAAUAAAUUUGAAAAAUAUCUAACCAAGAUUUUUUUAUGGCAUUUAUUAUUGAUUAAUUGAUGGUUUUAUUCUGUUACUAGACAAACUUCAUAAAAUUGCUUCCACAUUGUAACAUGGGAUUUAGGGUAAACUAAAUCCAUGUUCCCAAGUAAUAGUCAUUCAUAUUUGUUUCUAAAAUAAAGAGACAGAGAUAUAGGGGAGAGAGAGAGUGUUACGUUUUUGAUUUGCAUGAGUUUGAGGCCAGCCUGGGGUUGAGACAUGAGGUCCUGUCUCAAAAUAAAAUGAAAAACAAUAAAAACAGGCUGGCAAGAAGGCUUAUAGGGCUCUCACUCUCUCUUAUUCUCUCACUCUUCUCUCUCUCUCAGGGCAACCCCUUCCCCUUUCUCUCUCUCUCUCCACCAUGUCCUGUUUCCCCCUUCCCUCCAUACCCACCUAAUAAACGUCUUACAUAGAAGAAGAAGAAGAAGAAGAAGAAGAAGAAGAAGAAGAAGAAGAAGAAGAAGAAGAAGAAGAAGAAGGCGGCUUAUUGGGCAAAUGUGUUUGCAUGCAAGCCUCAUGACCCGAGUCCCGUCCCCAGAGCCCACGUAAAAGAGGCAGAUACAGUGGCUCACACCUGUAGUCCCAGCACCUCUACGCCAAGAUGAAAGACGAAGACAGGAGCUCUUGGGCCAGCUUAGCUGGAGUCUCCUAAGUACACCACGUGCCAGAAACAACAAGGAAGGGUGCCUGAAAGUACAAGUGGAGAAAGAAUCUUGACGGUCAUCCUCGGACCUUCACACUCUGGCACAUCCACAGCCACAAUCUAACACUCGAGCAUACAUAAGAUGUUAAAAUAGAUUAGGCAUAAAGGAUCAAGGUAGCUAGCUUAGGCCUGUACUAGAGAUGCUGAGGCAGCAGGAUAAUGAUGUUGAGACCAGCCUGAGCUGGUCUGGUUUAGCUUGGGCCAUGUAGUGAGACUUUUUUGGGGGGAGGAGGUUUUCUCUGUGAAGCCUUGGCUGUCCUGGACUUACUUUGUAGACCAGGCUGGCCUUGAACUCACAGAGAUCUGCCUGCCUCUGCCUCUCUGAGUGCUGGGAUUACAGGGGUGCUCCACCGUGCUUGGCUAAGACUGUUUCAAAGAGAGGAAACAUUGAGGGACCAGGGUAAGGGUUUGGCUGCCACCUUCUGGCUGGGAGCAGCCUUGGCAAUACAUGUUUAGACACAGGGACAGUCUUUGUGAGAACCUUGCUUUCUUGCUCUGCCACUGAACAGUGACUAAACACCUUUGGACACCGUGGCCAGGAUGAGGAAAUGCUAUUUGUGAGCUCCUUAAACACGAAGCCAAACACACUGUAGUAUAUUCAUCAGCUUUGACAGUGCCAUAAGGGCUCACUGGGAAAGGCAUUAUUCCGCUCCCAGGGUAGGGUCUGUGGGUUGACAGAAUCCUGGGUGGGGUCAGGCCUCCAGAAAAUGCAGACUUGUCAGCCUCACCCUGUUCCUUGAAGAAGUCACCUGCUCCUUCCCGCAGUGAACAUCUGUGCUGGAUCAAGAGGCUCCUCCCCCAAGGAGAAUGCAGCUCUCCCUGCCACGCCUCAGAUAGCUUGCCAAUAGUGCCUGGAGAGCACUGGCCUCCAGGCCAGCUGCACGCUUUUCCUUCCUUCUCCAUUUAGCCUCCAUUCAACUGAAUAUUUUCCACGUGCAUAAAAGUUACAGGCAUUUUCAAUUAUACUUAUUUGGGUUGGCCAACCUUUCCACCUACUCCUGUCCAUCUCCCUGAUUUCUUUAUUUUUUUACACUUAUUUGCAUUAUUUAGUAUGUGUGUUGUGGAGGUCAGAAGCCAGCUCUCUGGAAACAACUCUCUCUUCCAACAUUCUUUCUACACUGUGGCUUUCAGGUAUCGAAUGCAGAUAGUCAGACUUGGCUGCAGGCACCUCCACUCAGUGAGCCAUCUUGCCUGCCCUUGUUUGGUUUUGCUUUUGAAGGAGGACCUCACCACAUAGCUCAGGCUGGCCUUAAGCUUUGGGGAUUGUCGUGCUCUAGACUAUUGGAGCCUAGGAUUGCAAGCGUGCACCCACAGCCAGCCACGCCCUGUGCAUUAGUGUCUGGUGCAUAGCCUGGGGAACACGUGUGUCAUAAGACCCAGUUCAAGCACAGCGGGCAGCUUGGCCAUUUGUCUUGGCUCGAUAGCAGCGGCCUGGAGUUUUCCUGGCAUAGCCUGGAACUGGCGCUGGGAAGCCAGGGGACUAGCACAGAUGAGCUGAGUUAAUAUGGGUCCCUGCUCCUGAUGUAGAGUCAGCACAAAGCUCCAAGUGCCCCCAGAGGGAUGGCCCGCACUGCAGUGGCGCUACCUUCAGGAGUUCUGAGCACCAGUGUUCGGGGCUGUUUAUUUUUAGAAGCUGUUGACAUUUAUCAACAGCCAGUUCCGCCCCUGCCACUCCUGCCACACCAAAGCCUUACAGCUGUCCCCAAGCAUAGAGAAGAGACAGUGUCUACCCCAGCCUCUCACCCCACUGAACCCUGUCUACAAUGUCGGGGCUGCACUGUCUUUUAUUGGUUUACUUUCCUUUACUUUUUAAACAUAUUUAUUUACUUAUUUGUGUGUGUGUGUGUGUGUGUGUGUGUGUGUGUGUGUGUGUGUAAGAUGGUGUGUAUGUAGGUCUCUGGCCUCCGAGGAGGCCAGAAAAAGGCAUCUCUUGUAGCUAGAAUUAUAGGUGAGGUACUCAGCAUGGGUGCUUGGAUCUGAAUUCCAGUCCUUGUGGUUGAGCAGCAAGUACUCUUUAACCGCGGAGCCUUCUUUUUAGGGCCUACCCUCUUUAAAACGGGCAGGAUACAUACAACAACAUCUGGAGCUUCCUGAGGGUGGGCUCACAUAGCUGUGCCUUCAUCACCACCAUCCCUGUCUUCCCACACUGCAGCUUGGCCUCUUGUCACACUCCGGGCUCCGCUACAGCCAGCUCUGCCACUCACACGGUAGACCCUACUCACUCUCCUUUAUGUUUUUUUCAUCUUUAUCAGGGUGCUCUAAGGGGUAGGGCGCAAGGUGUGAUCACAGCUGUUACUUUUGUCUCGGGAUUCACAGGCUGCAGGCUGGCUGGUCCUUCUCUUCUGAGUUAUUGACCAAGCUCCUGCUGGGGGGUCAGGGUCUGCACAAGAAACCUGCCUCACUUGAGGAGUGUCCCCAAGGGGCUCGGCCUCUCAGAACUCUGAGGGUGCACGGAGAAUACUUUGAUUUUUCUCCUAUGAGGGUCAUUGAAAACACAAGCACUCUUGCAUCUUUUAAAAGUUUUAUUGUAUUUGUUUGUUUGUUUUGAGGGGGCACCCAACAAAAUGUGUGGAGAGGUCCAGGAGCAACUCUCAAGGUUCGGUUCUCUCCUUCUGAGGAAGCAGAAGCUAAAAAACAUCCCUGACAGGCAGACAGAUAGGGAAAGGGUCACAGAGCGAUAAUCAAGAUGGAAAACUUCUAGCUUCUUCCUCGACUUCCUGACCUGAGACAAAGCCUCAGGGGAGGGGCAGGGACCUUUCUGACUGACUGGUCAAAGGUUGGUCAGAUAUGUACAAGGUCUGUCCUAAACGUGUUUACCUAGAGCUGUGGGCCUAUCUGCAACUCUUUCUUUGUUUAAGCAGACCAGCCCAAUAUUGGGAGGGGAACUUUCCCUGUGCUGCCAAAACAGCCCCAAAGCUUGAAAGACCCAGGCUCCGCCCCAUGGGAUUUGGCUAUCAGUCCUCUCUCUGUUUUGCAGGAAGUCUCUCUCUGUGCUUUGCUGUGUAUGUGUGUGCGCGUGUAUGUGUGUGUGUGUGUGUACGUGUGUGCAUGUAUAUGUGCGUGUGUGUGAUAUUUGUGUUUGUGAUAUGAACAUGUGUGUAUUCUUCACUUGUAAUAAAUUUUGUUACCUGUU
Molecule: long non-coding RNA, 7524 nt
Organism: Meriones unguiculatus (Mongolian gerbil)
Lineage: Eukaryota; Metazoa; Chordata; Mammalia; Rodentia; Muridae
Exons: 2
Source: RefSeq, a predicted model, not a curated record